RNAcentral lists this long non-coding RNA (1167 nucleotides) under Coturnix japonica (Japanese quail). RNAcentral's name for it is "lncRNA (ENSCJPG00005006654.1)". The record is from RNAcentral. Lineage: Eukaryota; Metazoa; Chordata; Aves; Galliformes; Phasianidae.
CGGCCGGCGCGGUGCCGGGGCUGGGGGCUGAGGAGGGGGGGAUGGCGGCGGGCCGAGGGGAGCCCCGCGGGGGAGGGGCCCAUUGUUAGCGGCGGCCGCGGCGGCGGCGGGGGGAGGGGCGGCCCCGGCCCCCGCGGCGGCGAAGUUGAGGGGCCUGGGGGGGGCGGCGGGGCCGGGCCGGGGCGGGGAGCGGCCGGGGAGCCCCGACCCUUGGCGGAGCUGUGCCCGCAGUGCCCUGGCGGGGCGGCCCAGCCCGGCGCCUUUCUUUCUCCGUGCCUUUCUGUCGUUCUCUUUUUUUUUUUUUCCUCCCCCCCUCCUUCUCUGCCCCUUCCCGGCGCGUGUUGCAUUGCAGCAGCUGGGCUGCACCCUGCGAGAUCGAUACGGAGCGGGCGGCGGGGAGGGGGAAUCCCCCCUCGGGGGAUCCGCGAUGUAAACAGCGCCGGGCGGGGGCCGCCCGCUCCCACUCGGGACCCGGCUCCGUGCGCCCCAUUCAUUUGUCCCCGCGGCGCUCCCGCCCCGUUCCUCCUCCCGUUUCCGUCGUCCUCUCGUCGGAUCCGGCCCCAGCUGCCCCGCAGCCCCCAGGGGCUUCCAGCCGCUUUGUGUUGCCGAGGCCGGGGGCCCCUCCGAGUGCGGAGAGGUCCGCAGGGUGAGAACGGGUCGAUCCCUCUGUUGCGGCGCUGUGUCCGUUCAUGCAGAAUCCUAAUUACGGGUCUGAACUUCAAGGUUUUUGCUUUUGUUUUGUUUUUCCCCUUUUCCCCGUGUGCCUUCUAUGCCAACGGUAGCACUGCAGCUGGAAGCGGUGGGACGUGGUUUGUCCCUGCCGUUCUGUUGGAAAAUGCUUUCCCGUAUUUCCCUCUCACUCUCUUUGUUAGCCGUAAGCAUUCGCAUGCUCCUUUCGCCCUCGUUUCGCGUUGUGCUGAUUUAUUUUCACCCAUCUGCAUCGCUGUAAAAGCGGGGUGCCCCGCAAGUACAAACUUACAACUUGAGCUCCCGGCUCACACCCGGACCCUUCAAACAUGGGGUGCCCCUGACUCCCUUGGGCAGUCCUUAGCACGGACUUCCACCAUAAACCUUUGGAGAGGGCCAUGUAUUAAUCCAGUUUCUAUGCUGGCAAAGUGUGGUCGGCGCGGAGCAAGGGAAGGUGUCCCAGCACCUUGCUGCUGCUGA